UACGUAGGUGGCGAGCGUUAUCCGGAAUGAUUGGGCGUAAAGGGUGCGCAGGCGGUCCUGCAAGUCUGGAGUGAAAUGCCGGGGCCCAACCCCGGAACUGCUCUGGAAACUGUGAAGCUGGAGUGCAGGAGAGGUAAGCGGAAUUCCUGGUGUAGCGGUGAAAUGCGUAGAUAUCAGGAGGAACACCGGCGGCGAAGGCGGCUUACUGGACUGUAACUGACGUUGAGGCUCGAAGGCGUGGGGAGCAAACAGG
This 253-nucleotide ribosomal RNA is filed under the name uncultured Eubacteriales bacterium. RNAcentral describes it as "uncultured Clostridiales bacterium partial 16S ribosomal RNA". It matches the Rfam family "Bacterial small subunit ribosomal RNA", at positions 524 to 776 of the family's 1533-position model. Lineage: Bacteria; Bacillati; Bacillota; Clostridia; Eubacteriales. The record is from RNAcentral.